Molecule: unclassified non-coding RNA, 235 nt
Filed under: uncultured Sphingobacteriales bacterium
Lineage: Bacteria; Pseudomonadati; Bacteroidota; Sphingobacteriia; Sphingobacteriales
Description: contains 16S-23S intergenic spacer region
Source: RNAcentral
UCCGGGUUUCGCCCGGCAGUCUCCCUACAUCAUUCCUUAACUUUCAAGCCCUGGUAAGGUUCCUCGCGUAUCAUCGAAUUAAACCACAUGCUCCUCCGCUUGUGCGGGCCCCCGUCAAUUCCUUUGAGUUUCAACCUUGCGGUCGUACUCCCCAGGUGGAUCACUUAAUGCUUUCGCUCAGACGCGUACAGUAUAUCGCACACAUCGAGUGAUCAUCGUUUAGGGCGUGGACUAC